GAUGAACGCUGGCGGCGUGCCUAAUACAUGCAAGUCGAGCGAACGGACGAGAAGCUUGCUGCUCUGAUGUUAGCGGCGGACGGGUGAGUAACACGUGGAUAACCUACCUAUAAGACUGGGAUAACUUCGGGAAACCGUAGCUAAUACCGGAUAAUAUUUUGAACCGCAGGGUUCAAAAGUGAAAGACGGUCUUGCUGUCACUUAUAGAUGGAUCCGCGCUGCAUUAGCUAGUUGGUAAGGUAACGGCUUACCAAGGCAACGAUGCAUAGCCGACCUGAGAGGGUGAUCGGUCACACUGGAACUGAGACACGGUCCAGACUCCUACGGGAGGCAGCAGUAGGGAAUCUUCCGCAAAGGGCGAAAGCCUGACGGAGCAACGCCGCGUGAGUGAUGAAGGUCUUCGGAUCGUAAAACUCUGUUAUUAGGGAAGAACAUAUGUGUAAGUAACUGUGCACAUCUUGACGGUACCUAAUCAGAAAGCCACGGCUAACUACGUG
RNAcentral lists this ribosomal RNA (497 nucleotides) under uncultured bacterium. Its description in RNAcentral is "partial 16S ribosomal RNA". It matches the Rfam family "Bacterial small subunit ribosomal RNA", at positions 28 to 507 of the family's 1533-position model. The record is from RNAcentral.